This 29-nucleotide non-coding RNA is filed under the name Mus musculus (house mouse). The record is from RNAcentral. Lineage: Eukaryota; Metazoa; Chordata; Mammalia; Rodentia; Muridae.
UGAAAAGUGUGAGAGUUGGGAAGUUUUCU